Molecule: ribosomal RNA, 497 nt
Filed under: uncultured bacterium
Lineage: Bacteria
Description: partial 16S ribosomal RNA
Rfam family: Bacterial small subunit ribosomal RNA
Source: RNAcentral
GAUGAACGCUGGCGGCGUGCCUAAUACAUGCAAGUCGAGCGAACAGAUAAGGAGCUUGCUCCUUUGACGUUAGCGGCGGACGGGUGAGUAACACGUGGGUAACCUACCUAUAAGACUGGGAUAACUUCGGGAAACCGGAGCUAAUACCGGAUAACAUUUGGAACCGCAUGGUUCUAAAGUGAAAGAUGGUUUUGCUAUCACUUAUAGAUGGACCCGCGCCGUAUUAGCUAGUUGGUAAGGUAACGGCUUACCAAGGCGACGAUACGUAGCCGACCUGAGAGGGUGAUCGGCCACACUGGAACUGAGACACGGUCCAGACUCCUACGGGAGGCAGCAGUAGGGAAUCCUCCGCAAUGGGCGAAAGCCUGACGGAGCAACGCCGCGUGAGUGAUGAAGGGUUUCGGCUCGUAAAACUCUGUUAUUAGGGAAGAACAAACGUGUAAGUAACUGUGCACGUCUUGACGGUGCCUAAUCAGAAAGCCACGGCUAACUACGUG